CCCGCCCUCCGCCGCGGCCGUUAAAGGGGCGCGGCUUCCGAGCGCCGAGUUCGAACGAGCAGGCGGUGGCCCUCCGCCCCGCCAUGACCCAGUCGGUGGUGGUGCAGGUGGGCCAGUGCGGGAACCAGGUGGGCUGCCGCUUCUGGGACCUGGCGCUGCGGGAGCACGCCAACGUCAACAAGAAAGGAAUUUAUGAUGAAGCAUUAAGCAGUUUCUUUAGGAAUGUAGAUACAAGAAGUGGUGGUGAUGGUCCCGAUAUUUACAAAGGAAAAAUCUGCUCUUUAAAAGCACGAGCACUGUUGAUUGACAUGGAGGAGGGCGUGGUAAAUGAAAUUCUGCAGGGACCAUUGAGGGAUGUGUUUGAUAGCACACAGCUUAUCACAGAUGUUUCUGGGUCAGGAAACAACUGGGCUGUAGGUCAUAAGCUGUAUGGCUCGCAGUAUCAGGAAAACAUUGUGGAAAAGCUGAGGAAAGCUGCAGAACAUUGUGACUGUCUACAGUGUUUUUUUAUAAUUCAUUCUAUGGGAGGUGGGACAGGAUCUGGUCUUGGAACUUUUGUACUAAAGUUGCUUGAGGAUGAAUUCCCAGAAGUAUAUAGAUUUGUUACUUCAGUUUAUCCCUCUGGUGAAGAUGACGUUAUUACUUCUCCAUAUAACAGUGUUCUGGCUAUGAAGGAGCUUAAUGAACAUGCAGACUGUGUCCUGCCAAUAGAGAAUGAAUCUCUAUUUGAUAUAGUUAAUAAAAUUCAUCAGAUGGCCAAUUCUGGGAAGCUAGGGUCAACUGUGAAGCAAAACAGCUUGGUGACAUCAAGUGCAGGGAGUGCAAAAACUGUACAAGAAAAGCCAUUUGAUGCAAUGAAUAAUAUUCUAGCCAACUUGCUGCUGAACCUGACAAGCUCUGCUAGGUUUGAAGGUUCCCUUAACAUGGAUCUUAAUGAAAUCAGCAUGAAUUUGGUUCCAUUUCCUCGGCUUCAUUACUUGGUUUCAAGCUUGACUCCUCUGUAUACGUUGGCUGAUGUUAACGUACCUUCUAGAAGGUUGGACCAGAUGUUUUCAGAUGCUUUCAGUAGAGAUCAUCAACUAAUUCAAGCAGAUCCAAAGCACAGCCUCUACCUUGCCUGUGCACUUCUCGUUCGAGGAAAUGUGCAGGUUUCAGACCUUCGCAGAAAUAUUGAAAGGUUGAAGCCUUCCCUGCACUUUGUCUCCUGGAAUCAAGAGGGCUGGAAAACUGGUUUGUGUUCAGUACCUCCUGUGGGCCAUUCACAUUCUCUGCUGGCUCUAGCAAACAACACCUGUGUAAAACCAACUUUCAUUGAACUCAAAGACAGAUUUAUGAAGCUCUACAAGAAAAAGGCUCACCUUCACCAUUAUCUGCAUGUAGAUGGGAUGGAACAAAGCUGUUUUUCUGAAGCCAUAUCAUCUUUGUCUGACCUAAUAGAAGAGUACAAUGAACUGGAUGCCACAAAAGGUGGGCCUAGAACAGAUCCACCAAGGCUGAAGAUAGCUGUUUGAAGGAGGAGGAACUGAUAUAAAAAGAAAAAAGAAACCCCCCAAGCAUCCAACCACUUCAAUUAACCAGAAUGAAUCGAAGCAUAUUGAGCUAUUGUAAUUCCAAAAUGAGACUGGGACAAUGGCUUCCUCAGCUCUGAGAGGCAUCAUAUGAAGUGACAGGCCCAGACUGUAAGAAAGAUUUGAAGGCACCUAAUUAUGGCAAAUAUAUCAGUAAGAGCCAUCUUCCUAACUGUGAAUUGGCAUACCAUAUGCUGUAAAGAGAAGAAAGAGAGGUUAUAGCAGCCAAAAAUGUUGUUCUUUUCUCAGAUUUUCAUCUUACAGUAAACUGAAGGCAGGCCUUGCUUCAAGGAAGGAUCACUGUUGCUGAUUUGUUUUUUAACAAGCAACUAUGAAGAGAAGCCUACAUCGUCUCUUCAAAGGAAGCCGUUUUAUAUUAGAAAAUACCUUUAUUGUCUUCAAUGUGUUGCUCAGACAAGGCUGGAUGAAGCAUAACCUCUUCUCUUUCUUCAUUUCACACUUGCUGUUUUCGUUGGUCACUCUACUGGAGAUGCCUAUGCCACAGGUCCUGGAACACGGCGUCCAGGGGGUUGCCUGCACCAGGCACUUUCUCUUCAAAACUAGCGACCCAGAGACGCCCUUCUUGUUCUCCAGCCUGGAAGAAAUGAGACAGGUCAGAGGACCAGCACAUCCAUCCUCCUCCCCCUGGAGCUGCAGGGGAGCACAGAGCACUCAUUUGAAAUAUAUUGUUCCUCUUUGCAUCGCAGAAAAAAAGCAUGUGGCUAGUGCUGGCCUGGGAAUGCUCUGUGUGAGCUGGCAAAGCCUGGUCUGUUGUGGAUAAUGGUCCCCAGUCUUGGGAAACAGGAAAGAGAUGUUCCUGUAGGAUUAUCCAUUUGUUUUACAUAGUGUAUUUUGUUGGAAUCACCUGGAGAGCAUGAUAUCUUCAGUAUUGGAGAGCAAGACUUCGAAAUUUGUUUGAAUAUAAUUAAGCUGAUUGAUAGAAACUGUUGGGUUUGGGAGGGGUGGAAGGAAGGUUCCUCCCUGAGGAAGACAUUCUGGCAGUAUAACGUGUUAAAAUGGGAUUUUAUGUGGCUCAUGUGUGCAAAGCAACCAGCCCGCAUUUUCAGCCCAGGAAGGGCCUGCUGCUAGCAGCUCUCCCACUAGUAGGCCUCAGCACUCCAAAGCAAUAACGUGCCUUCAUUGCCUCUCCCUAACAAACGCAUAAACUCAAGUCAUCUGGAGCUUGCAGAACCUGCAGUACUGAGCCCUGAGUGUGUGUAAGAAAGAGCCAUAAGACCACAAAGACUGCAACACUAACUCCUUUGCGUAAAGAAUGCACUAAUACUUUGACUUAGUAUUAGAGUCUGUGUCUCUGUUAUUGGCUCUGAUUUAAAUAAAUGGGGGCUGUGUACCCUUUUCCUCUCA
RNA transcript from Strigops habroptila (Kakapo), 2933 nucleotides. It is a transcript of the gene named tubulin epsilon 1, with no coding region annotated. The transcript is spliced from 14 exons. The record is from RefSeq and is a predicted model, not a curated record. Lineage: Eukaryota; Metazoa; Chordata; Aves; Psittaciformes; Psittacidae.